CUCUCAUCCAAUCAGAACAUGUAGUCCAGGAACCUAAUUUGCAUAACCUUUGUAAGCGAGAGUCUUGCCAUUCCAGGUUCUUCUACGUCUGCCCGCCCAUCUGUUCCGACCCCAGAUUAGAGAAGGAGUUGUCACCGGUGGCAUGCUGGAGGCUUGAGCCUGCAGCAGCAUGGCUCGCCUCACUGUGGCUGGUGGCAGUGAGGUAGAGUACAGCACAGCCAAAGUGGUAGAAAGGUGGCAGAGUAGGUGAGCUAUCCAGGGACUUGUGGCGGGGGGAGAGGGGCAGUGAGCUCAGGGGCCAAGGAUUGGAUGCACUAUCGUGAACUACACUGCCCAAGGCUUUUCUGGCUUUGCCCAUCCAGUUGCUCCGUGCCAGGAGAAGGAGUAGCCACCUGCACAUGCUGGAGGCUGGAGCCAGGGACACCACGGCUUGCCUCGCUGUGGUUGGCGUGGUGGCAGCGAUGGAGACUGCAGAGUGCCAGAGAGGUAGGAUUCUAUGAUGUUCCUGAUGGCCAGAUUGAGAAUCUGUUCUGAGCUACACCUGUGCUCUCCUUCAGAUGGAGUGAUAUGAGGCCUCCAGCCCAGCACCAGCCUGCACCACAGUGGAGGACAGAUUUCCAUUGAAUUCCAUUGGCUCCUCGAUGCAGAAAUAGGACUCUACUCCAAGGCGCAAGAAGGCUUAAGGGGCCAAGUUAAUAGAAAUGUAUAGAGCCGCCUCUUGGUGGGCAGCAUGUGAUGAGGAAUGAGAGUGGCAGCUUCUGAGACAGCCCAGCCCUCUGGGGC
RNAcentral lists this long non-coding RNA (783 nucleotides) under Homo sapiens (human). Its description in RNAcentral is "HSALNT0405752". Lineage: Eukaryota; Metazoa; Chordata; Mammalia; Primates; Hominidae. The record is from RNAcentral.